GCUCAACCGAAGAAGUGCAUCGGAAACUGGGAAACUUGAGUGCAGAAGAGGACAGUGGAACUCCAUGUGUAGCGGUGAAAUGCGUAGAUAUAUGGAAGAACACCAGUGGCGAAGGCGGCUGUCUGGUCUGUAACUGACGCUGAGGCUCGAAAGUAUGAGUAGAAACAGGAUUAGAUACCCUGGUAGUCCAUACCGUAAACGAUGAAUGCUAAGUGUUGGAGGGUUUCCGCCCUUCAGUGCUGCAGCUAACGCAUUAAGCAUUCCGCCUGGGGAGUACGGCCGCAAGGCUGAAACUCAAAGGAAUUGACGGGGGCCCGCACAAGCGGUGGAGCAUGUGGUUUAAUUCGAAGCUACGCGAAGAACCUUACCAGGUCUUGACAUACUAUGCAAAUCUAAGAGAUUAGACGUUCCCUUCGGGGACAUGGAUACAGGUGGUGCAUGGUUGUCGUCAGCUCGUGUCGUGAGAUGUUGGGUUAAGUCCCGCAACGAGCGCAACCCUUAUUAUCAGUUGCCAGCAUUAAGUUGGGCACUCUGGUGAGACUGCCGGUGACAAACCGGAGGAAGGUGGGGAUGACGUCAAAUCAUCAUGCCCCUUAUGACCUGGGCUACACACGUGCUACAAUGGAUGGUACAACG
RNAcentral lists this ribosomal RNA (636 nucleotides) under uncultured bacterium. RNAcentral's name for it is "bacterial SSU rRNA". It matches the Rfam family "Bacterial small subunit ribosomal RNA", at positions 607 to 1244 of the family's 1533-position model. The record is from RNAcentral.